GCGGGGGUAGAUCAAAUAUAGAUCGUCUGGCUGUUAACCUGAAAGUGGGCGGGCUGUCCCUCCUCGCG
RNAcentral lists this transfer RNA (68 nucleotides) under Bryopa lata. Its description in RNAcentral is "tRNA-Asn". It matches the Rfam family "tRNA". Rfam says of the family: Transfer RNA (tRNA) molecules are approximately 80 nucleotides in length. Their secondary structure includes four short double-helical elements and three loops (D, anti-codon, and T loops). Further hydrogen bonds mediate the characteristic L-shaped molecular structure. tRNAs have two regions of fundamental functional importance: the anti-codon, which is responsible for specific mRNA codon recognition, and the 3' end, to which the tRNAs corresponding amino acid is attached (by aminoacyl-tRNA synthetases). tRNAs cope with the degeneracy of the genetic code in two manners: having more than one tRNA (with a specific anti-codon) for a particular amino acid; and 'wobble' base-pairing, i.e. permitting non-standard base-pairing at the 3rd anti-codon position. Lineage: Eukaryota; Metazoa; Mollusca; Bivalvia; Clavagellidae. The record is from RNAcentral.